GGGUGGGACAUCCUAUUGGCGCAAUUACUGGUUGGUGGGUGGCUGCCCUGCCCCAGCCUCUGCCCAUCACCCGCAUUGGCAAUAUAAUGGGAAGGCCUAAGCUUUGGUUUGGACUUUUUGCGCUGGGCCAACUGAAGUAGCACUGUUAAAGAUCUGAUGAAGCGUCGAGAUUUGAAAUUUAUUAAUUUAAGAAUUUCAGAUAAAAAAGUUAAUCUGGUCUUUAUAUCUGGCAUUAAGAUUUAGUAUUUAGAUUGUGGUCAAACUGAUAUUA
RNAcentral lists this unclassified non-coding RNA (271 nucleotides) under Hevea brasiliensis (rubber tree). Lineage: Eukaryota; Viridiplantae; Streptophyta; Magnoliopsida; Malpighiales; Euphorbiaceae. The record is from RNAcentral.